GCCGGGCAUGGUGGCGCAUGUUUGUAAUCCCUGCCACUGGGAAGCUGAGGCUGGUGGAUUUCUUGAGUUCAGGAGUCCUGAGCUGCAGUAAAGCUAAAGCUGAUUAAAUUACCAUGCUAAAUCCGUCAUCAAUAUGGUAAGCUUCCAAGUGUAAAGGACCACCAUGCUGCCCAAAGAGGGGCAAAAUAGCUCAGAUCAGAAAAAUGGAGCAGGUUAAAGCUUAUGUAUUAAUCUGCACCAGGAUAGAGUCCAUGAAUGGCUCCUGCCCUUCCAGCCAGGGUGGAACAGGGAAACUCAGUCUCCU
Molecule: signal recognition particle RNA, 304 nt
Filed under: Vombatus ursinus (common wombat)
Lineage: Eukaryota; Metazoa; Chordata; Mammalia; Diprotodontia; Vombatidae
Description: Metazoan signal recognition particle RNA (ENSVURG00010007279.1)
Rfam family: Metazoan signal recognition particle RNA
About the family: The signal recognition particle (SRP) is a universally conserved ribonucleoprotein.
Source: Rfam by way of RNAcentral